UAAAAAAUGUGGAUUCCUUGGCUCCGCCUCCAGACAUUCUGAAUCAGUAAGUUUUGAGUGGAGCCCAGGAAUCUGAAUUUUU
Molecule: microRNA precursor, 82 nt
Filed under: Tursiops truncatus (common bottlenose dolphin)
Lineage: Eukaryota; Metazoa; Chordata; Mammalia; Artiodactyla; Delphinidae
Description: miRNA (ENSTTRG00000023348.1)
Source: RNAcentral